CGUGCGUGCGCGCGCAGCUUGGGAAAAGCUAGUCUGAGAAGCAGAGCCUCUGCGUGUGGGCCCAAGGGGAAGAAUGGAAUGGGGAAGGGUUAUGAGUCCCCGGGGCUGAGAAAAUUGGAAUCCACAAACAAACAAACAAUCAGACCCUGGACAGAGGAGACCCACAACCUCAGACCUGGCUCUGUCUGCCCCAGGCAUUAUGCUAUCUUGUAUUUCAAAGAUGAAGACUCAAACCAGAGAAGUUAUGACCUGCUCAGGAUUAGAUGACCUUCUCUGACUUAUUUCUUUUCCCCACAUCAAUGCUGUCAGCUGGAUUUUGGCUAAUCUUGUCGGGAUCAGUGGAACUUGGCUCCAGCCAUGAGUUGAGUUCACAUCUCUCAUUCCUUCGUGACUAGUGGGCUGCCCAAGACAUCAUCUUCACAAGGUGGUAGCAGAAGCCCAAGAGAGCAGACCCAGCACUGAAAUGGCAUCGCUAUGUCCAGAGCACAGUGGAUCCCAUUGGUGAUUGUUUUUCGAGGAAACUGAGCAGAUGGAGGGGGAAGGCCAUUGAUAUCUGCAUGACGGACUUGGAAAGGGUCCAGAAAAAGCCAGAGAAUCCCGUGGUGAAGAUUUUCACUUCCGGCGCCCCUCACCUUUGGAUGGGUGAUGCUCCUAGCCUUCAUGUACCAGUCACCAUAUUUACUGCAGAAAUUCUCAGUCUCAUCCAUCACUAUGUGUUUGAUCUUUGAGAACUCCCCUUGCAUGAAGGUUUUCCGGGUCACAGCUUGGCAGGUGGUUUGCUGGCUGUAAGGAUGAAGGAGAAAAUAGGGCUUCAGCCAUAUAAACAAAGGAAAUACCAUGCAUUUAUUAUUCUCUGGAUUAGCAUUAGAGACUGGUUCUCAUCUGGAGACUGAUUCACUGAUUCAAUAACUACAAAAAUGCUCUACUUACAAGUUACCUGAUAGACAGAAUACAUAAUUGCAAACCCUACUCUUUGGGGUUAUUAAGUUGAAUCUGCAUGCGAUACUUUUGAAAUGAACCCAGGUAGGAGAUUUUAUUAUUUCUACCAUAGUCCAUUUCUGCUGCUUGACAAUCCCUGAAGGUAAAUUCCUUACAUCUAAAGGAAAUAUCAAAAGGAAUUUACACUUGUUACUACUAUUUCUUUACUUUCUGUCUUUUUUAGAGCUGGAGAACAGUCACCUAGAGGCAUAUCAUAAUUUUCGUAUGCAAAAGAGGUAUGGGCUCAUACAAGUUCCUCUAAAGAAAAUCCUAUUUCCCCACUUACUUGUAGUACAAAAGCAGAAGCCUCUUUAGAUUUUGGUAAGGAAAACAUUAAGAGGUUGCUGAGUUCCAUGACAUGUCAAGUAGGGUACCAAGUCUGCAGGGUCUUUGCCUCUAUGGAGCUACCAAUCCUACUUACUUAGCUCAAUUUUCCUUUAUAGUAUGUUUUAGCAUACGUGUGUGUGUGUGUGUGUGUGUAUACUUUUUUUUUUAAAAACAAACUUGGUUGUUUCUUGCCACCUCUAAUUUGGAAUCAAGUCAUAUCACCCAUCCCUGCAGAUGUGGGACUGCAUGUGCAGUCCCUGGGGCUUUACUCCCUAUGUCCUGAAUCAUAACUAUUCACGUUCCUCUCUUCCAGGUUGGACUCUGUAGACUUCUUGAAGAAAAGCAUUGAUUCUUAGUCAUCUCCGUAACCCACUCACAUUAAGUUCAUAGAUGUUUGUUGAAUUGAAUUUGUCUUUUGACUGGAGAUAUUUAAAAACUUAUACCUGGGGCUUCCCUGGUGGCGCAGUGGUUGAGAGUCCGCCUGCCGAUGCAGGGGACACGGGUUCAUGCCCCGGUCUGGGAAGAUCCCACAUACUGCGGAGCGGCUGGGCCUGUGAGCCAUGGCCACUGAGCCUGCGUGUCCAGAGCCUGUGCUCCGCAAAGGGA
Globicephala melas (long-finned pilot whale) is the source of this 1911-nucleotide long non-coding RNA. RefSeq lists it as uncharacterized. Lineage: Eukaryota; Metazoa; Chordata; Mammalia; Artiodactyla; Delphinidae. The record is from RefSeq and is a predicted model, not a curated record.